UUGAUCUUCUAUUGCCCAUCUAGCACCAAUAAAAUUAAGUUUGUCAUUGAUAACCUGUACUCGCAUUACUAUGAUUG
This 77-nucleotide transfer RNA is filed under the name Shewanella piezotolerans WP3. RNAcentral describes it as "tRNA-Asp". The record is from RNAcentral. Lineage: Bacteria; Pseudomonadati; Pseudomonadota; Gammaproteobacteria; Alteromonadales; Shewanellaceae.